This is a non-coding RNA of Pelobates cultripes (western spadefoot toad), 284 nucleotides long. Lineage: Eukaryota; Metazoa; Chordata; Amphibia; Anura; Pelobatidae. The record is from the annotation of a GenBank genome assembly.
CUUAUUCUACAUUGUACUUUUUCUGUGAGACAUGACAACAGUUUUAAAUAAUGUCUUUUUGGAGUCCCUAGUUCAGAGCCAAAAUUGGUUCAUAUGCUAUGGUAAUGAGUUCUCAUUUGUUGGAACAGGCAAAUCCUAUUCAUAGUUGGGGUGCCCAAAAAGUAGAUUCCCAGAUGUAGAACUACAACUCCCUUGAUGCUUUGCAGGCUUUUAGUAUGACAAGGCAUCAUGGAAGCUGUAGUUUUUUUUUAGAACAUCUGGGGAUCUACCUUUUUGGCUAUCCC